CUUAAUUCGAUGCAACGCGAAGAACCUUACCAGGGCUUGACAUGUAUCUGCAAGCUACCGAAAAGUAGUCGCCUUCGAGGGUGAUACACAGGUGGUGCAUGGCUGUCGUCAGCUCGUGUUGUGAAAUGUUGGGUUAAGUCCCGCAACGAGCGCAACCCUCAUGUUCUGUUACCAGCGAGUAAUGUCGGGGACUCGGAACAAACUGCCUCUGUAAAGAGGAGGAAGGUGGGGAUGACGUCAAGUCAUCAUGCCCCUUACGCCCUGGGCUGCACACAUGCUACAAUGGCCGGUACAAAGGGUUGCGAAAGCGCAAGCUGGAGCCAAUCUCAAAAAGCCGGUCUCAGUUCGGAUUGGAGUCUGCAACUCGACUCCAUGAAGUCGGAAUCGCUAGUAACCGCAGGUCAGCAAUACUG
Molecule: ribosomal RNA, 413 nt
Filed under: uncultured bacterium
Lineage: Bacteria
Description: bacterial SSU rRNA
Rfam family: Bacterial small subunit ribosomal RNA
Source: RNAcentral